AGGAUAAACGCUGGCGGCGUGCCUAACACAUGCAAGUCGAACGCGCUUUCGGGCUUCGGUGCGAGAGCGAGUGGCGGACGGGUGAGUAACACAUGGGUACCUACCUUGGAGUGAGGGAUACCGGCGAGAAAUCGCCGACAAUACCGCAUAGGCUUCUUCACAAGGGAAGCAAAGUGACGCGAGUCACGCUGUGAGAUGGGCCUGUGGCCGAUUAGCUAGUUGGGGGGGUAACGGCUUCCCAAGGCGACGAUCGGUAGCUGGUCUGAGAGGACGAUCAGCCACACUGGGAUUGAGAACGGCCCAGACUCCUACGGGGGGCAGCAGUGAGGAAUUUUCCGCAAUGGAGGCAACUCUGACGGAGCAACGCCGCGUGCAGGAGGAAGGUUUUCGGAUCGUAAACUGCUUUUCUCGGGGACGAGCAAGGACGGUACCCGAGGAAGAAGCCCCGGCUAACUACGUGCCAGCAGCCGC
RNAcentral lists this ribosomal RNA (471 nucleotides) under uncultured bacterium. RNAcentral describes it as "SSU rRNA". It matches the Rfam family "Bacterial small subunit ribosomal RNA", at positions 26 to 518 of the family's 1533-position model. The record is from RNAcentral.